RNAcentral lists this ribosomal RNA (689 nucleotides) under uncultured bacterium. Its description in RNAcentral is "bacterial SSU rRNA". It matches the Rfam family "Bacterial small subunit ribosomal RNA", at positions 42 to 729 of the family's 1533-position model. The record is from RNAcentral.
UUAGGCCUAACACAUGCAAGUCGAGGGGCAGCAUUCACUUCGGUGAGAUGGCGACCGGCGCACGGGUGCGUAACGCGUAUGCAACCUACCCUUUACUAUGGGAUAGCCCGGGGAAACCCGGAUUAAUACCAUAUGGUACCAUUUGAUGGCAUCUGAAGAUGGUUAAAGAUUUAUCGGUAAAGGAUGGGCAUGCGUGACAUUAGCUAGUUGGUGAGGUAAGGGCUCACCAAGGCAAUGAUGUCUAGGGGUUCUGAGAGGAUGAUCCCCCACACUGGCACUGAGAUACGGGCCAGACUCCUACGGGAGGCAGCAGUAGGGAAUAUUGGUCAAUGGGCGAGAGCCUGAACCAGCCAUGCCGCGUGCAGGAAGACGGCCUUCUGGGUUGUAAACUGCUUUUAUCAGGGAACAAAAAGGCUCUGCGGAGCAAAUUGCGUGUACCUGAAGAAUAAGGACCGGCUAACUCCGUGCCAGCAGCCGCGGUAAUACGGAGGGUCCAAGCGUUGUCCGGAUUUAUUGGGUUUAAAGGGUGCGUAGGCGGCCCUAUAAGUCAGUGGUGAAAUCCUUCGGCUCAACCGGAGAACUGCCAUUGAAACUGUAGGGCUUGAGUACAGACGAGGUAGGCGGAAUUUAUGGUGUAGCGGUGAAAUGCAUAGAUACCAUAAAGAACACCUAUAGCGAAGGCAGCUUAA